UGCAAACAAUUGCAGUGUUCACUCUGCUUGUUUUCUUCCUCCCAUCUCCCUGUGAGCUCUUGAAUGUCCUGAGAGGGAGGGAGUCCAGUAACUUGCAUUUGUGUCUAUUCUGAGCUGUGCAAACAAUUUAGGAUUCUCCAGGAGAGGGGUCUCUGCACCAGGGUCUGCCUGUGCCCAGGCUACUGAUAAUGCUGGAAGCCUGCACAGAAGUGACUGCUUGAUGUGCUCGUCGGUGGAGGCCACAAAACUUCCUUUGAACUUCAGAGCGGAGGAGAGCACCCAGCUGAUGUAUAGACUGGCAGAAUGGAGCAGCAGAAAAAUUAAGUUCCGUUUCUCAGCAAAGAUAAGCAACAGAGCGAGCGGUGAAGCAACACAAGGCUCGCCGGCGAGCAAAGCUCUCCUGGAACGGCGCAGACAGGCAGGGCGCUGGUAUGAAUAAAAACUGGGUGCCAGGGAGAGGCUGUCAGUGACAUUACUACCUGUCACACGUGUGUAAAAGUCAUCAAACAGCAGGUGGGCGGCCGUGACAGCCCCGGGAGAGACAUCUCUAUUAAUGCGCUCAGCACUGCGCCGGUACGAGGCUGGAGCGUGUUAAGGCAAGGCAGGCUGUUCCACUUAAGGUGGAAAAUGAUAUAUUCGGCAAUCAGAGUAAUUUGAUUUGGCUGAGGUUCAUGGCGUUUUGGAAUCUGAUGUGAAUCUUCCUAGUAUUGGAUCCUGCCCCAGAUUCCCAGCGCUGCAGCAUAUUGCAUCUCCCUUUUGGGCUGCAUGGAGUAAAUGAGCUUCUGAGCCUGGUGGUGCGGAUUUUGUACCCAGAUGGGUGACUUCUCUCAUCUUCUGUUAUAAACUGGGUUUCAGGAUUGCAAG
Cygnus olor (mute swan) is the source of this 864-nucleotide long non-coding RNA. RefSeq lists it as uncharacterized. The record is from RefSeq and is a predicted model, not a curated record. NCBI's taxonomy places the organism in Eukaryota, Metazoa, Chordata, Aves, Anseriformes, Anatidae. The transcript is spliced from 3 exons.